This is a long non-coding RNA of Gambusia affinis (western mosquitofish), 6634 nucleotides long. RefSeq lists it as uncharacterized. The transcript has 3 exons. Lineage: Eukaryota; Metazoa; Chordata; Actinopteri; Cyprinodontiformes; Poeciliidae. The record is from RefSeq and is a predicted model, not a curated record.
AUGUGUGUGAGAGUGCAAGAGCUGCAAUUUCAGCAUGAAAAAGAACAUUCCUAACGUAGCAGAUUUAUUUCAGCUUUUUUUUUUUUUCUUUGAAGGAUUAUAGGCCAUGAUCCUGUCCGCAGCAGGGAGCUGAACGAAUUUGACGUUUUGAUUCCCAUGAUUCAUCAUGUUAGAUUUGAUUUUUUAAAAACAUUUCUUAAAUGGAUGCAUAUAGCAAAACAUUUUUAAGAACUGCUCCUGGAUAUUUAACCUUUUUUUUUUUUUUUUUAUGAAAUGGAAAGUAAGAAUUGCAAUUUCAUCUGCAUGUUGUUUUUACCCAGUAGCUUUAGUAGCUUUUGCAGGGUAUUGAAACUAUUACAUGCUUAACUUGUGGGAAACAAAGUUGGAAUCAAUUUACCAGCUUGAAAAUAUGUUACAUUUUCGCUGCUGCUUUCGUGGUUUAGAUUGUAUUAAAACAUGCGAUGCUAAUUAUAGUGCCAAGAUCUGACUGCACUGUGUAUUGAGCCACAUCAGAAGCUGAUGUGUUUGCAGAUUGACAUCUCUCAGAAACCAGCAGGUAGCUUGGUGUGUGAAGCUCACGCUGUGUUCCAGAAAUUGUCUGUGGUCCGUUCCUGUCUCACCGAUUUUCCGUCUAAUAAUUGUUAAUUUGUGUCAAAAGCUGCCUCUCUCUUCACUUCACAAGCUCUUUCUGGAUGAUUUUCGGCAGCCAAGUCAAUCCCACUGUGCCCUGCUAUGAAUAUGCAUAUCUCUUCUUUGGUAUUUUCUCUUUUACUGGCAUGGAAAGUAAUGUAAUUAGUCACAUUUUUCAUGUUCUAUGCUUUGGCAGGUGCUUUGAGGCCUUUUUCUACUUUCCUGUGGGUUAGUUGGUGUGCAUGUGGGUGGAUUGUCAUGUGAUUGUGUAUAUGUGCACACACACACACACACCACGGUUCCAGUUCUUCACGAAGUUUCUUCGGUUUGGGAGAGACAGCUAAACAACCUGCCAGAUUUAGUCAUUAUCUCACUCUAUCCCCACCUUGAAAGUGCCUCUCCUUGUUUUCUUCUUUUAAUUUUUUUAUGGACUAAUUGUACUGAUAAGAUUAGAAGUAAUCUCCAUAUAAAUUGUGUUAUUAUAAGACAGAUUGUUUUGUUUUGAAAGUCAGCACAGAAUAUAUAAUAAUUUGCAGUGACUUGCAGAAAGCUGCCUCGACGUUUUAAUCAGUUUCCUAAUAAAUAACGACUCUUCCUCGAAAACGUGCUGAGCGACAUCCAUGAACGCCGCAUCAGUGGCGGAGUUUGAACAAUUCUGUUACAUAAAUGCUAAACAGGUAUAGCCACUAAAACAUAAUGCUAAAUAUAACUGUGCACCACAGUCUAACAAUUGAAGUCACAUCCAAGGCAACUUUCAAGCAGCCUUUUGAAAAGUUUGGAUGGGCAUUGAAGCAUCACUUGGCUGCACUGUCAUUUUAUACAAAAUUGGCCCUGUCUGUCCAACUUGGCUAUUUUUCUUUUCUUUUUUUUCUUUUUUUUUUUUUAAAGAACAUUAUGAAAAUGUAGACUGAGCGCAAAUUAUUCAGCUUGGCUGUUAGCUGGGUACUUGCCUGUGAGUCAUCCUCUUUUCACCUUGCUGCUUUUCACCUUUGACACACGUGUCGUUACUGCGGCAGCACAUCAGUAUUCAGCCGAAAGUUUGCUGUGAUCAGUAUGACACUCACGUCUGCCUUUCCAAAAUGAGUAAAAAAAAAAAAAAAAAUGCAAACUGGAAUGUGUUCGGGUGCUAUUUGCCAUUUUAUAUCACUUAGAGUGACAUAAAGCCCAACAACACCAUCAAGCUUUUAUGAAAUAAGAAUGCUGUGGUAGGCUUCUAUGGGUUAAAAGGCUGAUUUAUGGGUUUUUGUUGUUUUUUUCUUUAGUAGAAGUACUAUACUGUGAUAAUCAAUUUGAAAAUUAAAUUAAACUACACCUUUUAAUGUAGCGUGAAGGACAGUCUUGCACAUACACAUUGUGAAUUUCCCUGCUUGAGGACACAUGUGUGUACAUUGUGGUCAAAGGCAACACAACCUCAAACUUCAAGGAGGGGGAAAAGCCUGACUAGUCAGUUUGGAUUAAGUUUUAUUGCCAUUUUUUUCUUAGAAAAUAACAAGUUAUUUAAGAUUUACACAACUUCUAAGUUGCCCUAAAUUUCACGCUGUUGUCAUGCAGCUUCUUUUCUUGCUCUGCAUAUUGGCUCAUCUAAAAAUGCAUUUUAUAUGGGUCAGACUGAAAGUAAUUAGGCGCAUUUGGUGAAAAAUGAAAUCCUGUCACAUCUAUAAAGAAUGUGUGUCACUUAUGAUCUGUUUAUAAUGCAGAUAUUGGAUGCAUAAUGGGUGUGUGGCUACUGUGCCAGGAGACCUAAAGACCACCUGACCUUAUUGGGAUGGACGGUCAUUGUUUUCUGGAUCAUCUAUCAGCGAGCCAAGCGGUCAAAUCAACUGAAACGAUAAUAUUUCAUGUUUCUCCAUGUUAUUCUCAUCUUGCUUUUAUGCUUCUGUGUUACUCUGCUCCACCUGCCAAGUUAAAUCUCUGCUCAUCAGCUUCAUUCAGCCCACCUGUGCCAAGUCUAGUUGUCUACCUUUCUCAAGUUCUUGAAGUUCUGAAGUUCCUGAUCUCGCCUCAGUUUCUGCCUCCUUGCCAGAUUAUGGACUUUCUUGUGCCAGUAGUUGCCCAGCGUUGUGUCCUUGCCCUUGUUGUCUCCGGACUAUUUUUGACAGGACUCUACAACCUUUCUGAUGUUUUGGAUCACAGCCCACCCUCCGAACCAAACCUGCUCCCUUUUACGAGCUUUCCAGCUUCCUCUCCAGAACUGCAGAUUAUGCUGAGAGUCAAGCCCUCUGUACUGAAACAUUUCACUGCUGAUCGUUCCGCAGUAAAAUGCAUAAACAAAUAUAAUCUUUUGGCUGAACUUCUUUAUCAAGAUGUCCAAGCAUUUGACAUUCAGAGGUGAGUAAAUUUUCACUAGUUUCACAUAUUAAAAGAAUGAGGUAAAUAUUAUAGAGUCAUUUCUGCAACAUUGUUGCCUGCCUGCAAAUUUCAUCAAAGUGAUGGCUAUUUGAAGCAUAUAUUAUGUUUAUUUUGCCAGCAGUAGGUUUUCUUAGCUCUCUAAAAAUGUUACAGGUUCAGAUUUCUAGAAAUGUAAUGUUGGAGCUUUCGUUACUUUUUCUACAAAUUAUUGAAAUUCAGUGUACUUACACAAUAAAGUGACAAGUAAUGCAUUAAAAGUAAUUGGUUUUCUUGAAUUACUGCUGGCAAAGGCAGUAGAAAAAUUCCUUUAGCCAGAAAUUCUGGCAAAAGCAAUGACUAAAAUAAGUUUUCUAUUUUCAAACAUGUAUUUCCACAGAUUCAAACAACAUAAAAACUUGGUUUAAUCAGAAAAUAUGUUAAAUUGAAGGAUGUUAAGAAAAAAAAGCCUUGCUGUUGGUUCAGUUUUCCUAAAUCUUUUCAUUUUCCACUCUCUUUAUCCAGAAUAAAAAGGAGAUGAAAAUAAAAACCUUAAAAACAGAAAAGGAUUUUUCAUCUUUGUGCCUCCAGGCUACCAUUUCACCGAGUUCCAGAUUAAUUUUCUACCUAUUUCAGUCCAAUUUCUAAUUAAUCUAAAAUUGACGAUGCAUUAAUUACAUGUUUCUGUGUAAAGGGAGUAUCAACAACUGAGAAACCAAUCUAAUCUGGUAAUGAAUCAAACCGCCAUCAAUUAUCUUUACUAAGAUAUUUUCAAUGUUUAACUACCUGCAGAAAAUGAGCCAAGAGUCGACGCCUGGGCUAAGCAGCAGAUUAUUAUUGAACAAAUUUCUGCUGAAAAACUAAUUCAUGAAAUCUUUUGUAAAUGCUGUUUGGUUGGAACCGUGUGCAGGUCUAUAUGUGUGUAAAAUAUAAGUCUGUCUUUUCAUCCAACCCAAAGAAAGGCUUCAAAUAGGCCAAAAGCUUGGAACAUUUCAGACUGCACUGAGCGCUGCACCUCUGUUCCAGCAGGGCUUGAAACAGUGAUAAAAAAAAAAAAUCCCAUCACUUGCUUUUAAUCUUCAGUAUUAUCUCUCCUUAUCACACCAGGUCCCCAGUUACCACCAUGAAAAACCUGUGGGUGUCCCCUUUCUGAUGGGGGCUUUAAGGGUCAUUACCCAUGAGACUUUGCUUCCAUCCACCCCCAGAUUUAGAUCACUCCACUGGACUAGAAAUAGCCGCCCCAAGGUUCCUUGUCUUUCCAUCUCUCAAUCCCCUGCAGAGGUCACAUUUUUCAUUUUGGGCAAUUUGAAGCUUUUAAACCCUCCCCAUGAUCACUACCUCUCUGUUAUCUGUGCAUGUCUUUGAGUGACUGUGUGUUAAUUUUAAGCCUCUGCUUUGCUGAGAGCUAAGUCUGCUGCACCGGAAUGCACUCUUGUCUCUGCAGGACAUGCCGUUGGUACCCUUGGCCCGCUGUCCUGCCCUCACGGCCUGAGAGUUUUGCAUCAGUCUGGCUUCAAAGUCCUGUGUGCAAGAGUACACACAAUGACACAGAUACUACUGUGUCACAUACCAAGCCUCAUCCUUUCCUUUUUUUUUUUUUUUUUUUAAUCUGACUUUUCCCACCUUGGUCGCAACGCUUCCCUCUGACUGUAACUUGAAUUUUCUGCUGACUUGUUGCACAGGCUGGAAUGCGUGUUUACCUCAGCUCAGCUGUUUUAUGCUCUCCUGAGAUAGUUUUGUGCUCGUACACAAAAGAGUCCACUACAUUGUGCAUGUAUGAAAAGUGCAAGCUGUAAUGCUGCAAAGAGAUAAGGCCCUGUGUAAAGCUGAGGGAGCUAUAUCCAACAAGUCUGUCAGUUUAAAGGGUAAAAAAAAAAACUUCAGAGCCACAAACUAUUUUUUCUCCCACCAGAUAGACUUCUAUCUGGCUCACUUUCUAUUUCUCCCCAUAUCUUUCGUCUGCUGAAACCUUUACUGUCGAGACAUCCAGAGCUGUGAUGUCAGAGCAGGGACCAGUGAGAAAUUUGGCAUGCAAGAGGCACAUGAAUGAUUCAUACAGUGCAGUGUACAGAAACAGCUUGUGUGCAGAGUAUUUGUUUCAGUGACUGCCCAAACUUAGACCUAAGCAAAAGGGAGCCACUUGACAGACCUCUCACCCUGCAGGAGCUCACAAGUGUCCUGCUGCAUCCGUCCCCACGCCCCGCUCUCGCUACUGAAGGAAUUCCAGCAAACUUCUAAAGGCCUGUUUAUGGAGCUGUAGGGGGGGGAGUUGUGCUGGAUGAAGGCCACCCUGCAGCUGUCAUCACGCAAUGGUGUCAUUCUGAUUAAAAGUGGGCCUGCACGUUCGUCUGUGUGCUUGCAUAAACUCGUACUUGAGUUUAUGCACGGAUGUGUUAAGAGACGAGCAUUUUCCGAAACAGGACUCCAAGUGGAACAUUAAAUACGAGCUUGUCUAUUGUAAGAGAACAUAACUAUUUCAGUCCACAUGUCUCUCAAACCAGUUGAACAAUUUAAAUUAAACAUUGCAAUAGCUAUAUUCUUAAUUUGUCAUAAUAGAAAAGGGCAAUAAUAUUAAAGCUUCAGUAGGUUUAAAUUUAUAACGAUACGGUUCUAGAAAAAGUAGAUGAAAUUAUGAACAAUUUAAUCCAUAUUCAGAUCCAUACCUUUAAAAGUCACUGGUUAUUAAAAAUAGAAAUCCACAGGAUCUUUUGAAACUAUUCAAAGUUUUUGAAGUUUUUCAGAUUUUGUCAACAACUACAAAUUCUAACGUAUAUAAUGUAAAGUUUUACAUACUUUACAUUAUAUACUUUGUAAAGUAUGCAAAGUGUAUAAUACAUUUAUGCUUUGCAUACAGUAAAUAUGGCUGUGAAGGGUAAACACAAAUUAGUGAAGUGGAAGGAAAAUAAUUUAUCUUCCUGUCCACUUAUUCACUCUGAGCAACUAAUACUACAUGUACUACAUGUACUACAUGUGUUACAUGUAGUAAAUUCAGUGACAUGUAGUCACUGAAUUUACAGCUGCAAAUGCUUUUUUAGAAUACAUCUCAACCUGAAACUUUUUCCCACCCGUUUGCAAAAUUGCUCAAGCUUAGACUAGGCAGUAACUAGUUAGAUUUACUCAGUUACAUUUACUUGCCUACCUUUUUUUGAAAAUAUGCACAUUCAGGAGUGCUCUUACUAUGUUGUACCUUUUAUUUUCACUUGUGUAGUUUUAUUAUACAGUAUUGCAACUCUUACCUGAGUAAAAUUACUGAUAACAAUGAUAAUAGACUAUAUACAGAAAAUCUGCAAAUACCCUGAACCGUAUCCUACUAAAGUUGUAAAGAUGACAUUUAAGAAAAAAUUUGUCCCUCUGUAUUUACUUCUAAUCAAGAAGUUCCUCUGCUGUUCUCAUCAAUAUCUCAAGUCUUAAACUCUCAGCAUAUAAGAGAAGACUGCAUUUUUGAGGGUAAAAAGAAAUAUCUAUAUCCUAUAAAACAACAUUCUUGGAGUCUUAAAUAAGGUUGAUUUUUCAAAAACCCAAGCUUAACCCUACAAUUUACCUUAAAUCUUUCAACUUCACACUCAAAAAAAGGAUCAAGUAUAUUUAGAUAGCGGCUGGCCAUGUGGAAAGAGGUGAUAUUUAUUUACUGCUUAUGAGGAUUUCCUAUGACGACAUUGCUACAUGCGCUGCAUGACCG